UACGUAGGGUGCGAGCGUUGUCCGGAAUUAUUGGGCGUAAAGGGCUCGUAGGCGGUUUGUCACGUCGGGAGUGAAAACCAGGUGCUUAACACCUGGCCUGCUUCCGAUACGGGCAGACUAGAGGUAUGCAGGGGAGAACGGAAUUCCUGGUGUAGCGGUGAAAUGCGCAGAUAUCAGGAGGAACACCGGUGGCGAAGGCGGUUCUCUGGGCAUUACCUGACGCUGAGGAGCGAAAGUGUGGGGAGCGAACAGG
Molecule: ribosomal RNA, 253 nt
Filed under: uncultured bacterium
Lineage: Bacteria
Description: partial 16S ribosomal RNA
Rfam family: Bacterial small subunit ribosomal RNA
Source: RNAcentral